Molecule: ribosomal RNA, 492 nt
Filed under: uncultured bacterium
Lineage: Bacteria
Description: partial 16S ribosomal RNA
Rfam family: Bacterial small subunit ribosomal RNA
Source: RNAcentral
AGUGAACGCUGGCGGUAGGCCUAACACAUGCAAGUCGAACGGCAGCACAGUAAGAGCUUGCUCUUACGGGUGGCGAGUGGCGGACGGGUGAGGAAUACAUCGGAAUCUACUUUUUCGUGGGGGAUAACGUAGGGAAACUUACGCUAAUACCGCAUACGACCUACGGGUGAAAGCAGGGGAUCUUCGGACCUUGCGCGAUUGAAUGAGCCGAUGUCGGAUUAGCUAGUUGGCGAGGUAAAGGCCCACCAAGGCGACGAUCCGUAGCUGGUCUGAGAGGAUGAUCAGCCACACUGGAACUGAGACACGGUCCAGACUCCUACGGGAGGCAGCAGUGGCGAAUAUUGGACAAUGGGCGCAAGCCUGAUCCAGCCAUACCGCGUGGGUGAAGAAGGCCUUCGGGUUGUAAAGCCCUUUUGUUGGGAAAGAAAAGCAGCAGGUUAAUACCCCGCUGUUCUGACGGUACCCAAAGAAUAAGCACCGGCUAACUUCGUG